AGAGCCUCCCCAGCUGCAUCCUAUCCUGUAAUCAAGACUCAGCUCUGCCACAGCCACUCUUCUCGUGUGCUCCGACCCAGUUUCCAGCCCUUCAUCCCGUCAGGCCUGUUCCUUUGCCUUGGUUUUCAGCUCGGCUCAGCUACUCCAUGGCUUCUUCUCUAGACCUGCUCAGCUCAGACCAGGCUUCCCCCUGCUCAGCACUGCCAGCCUGCAGCCCAGUACCCGUCGCUCCCUGGCAUCAGCUCAGUUCACCUCAUUCCUGGCUCAUAUCUAUUCCCUUUAAGCCCUGCAAUAAACAAAUCUUCUUUUAUUUAAACUCCACUCUCCUGCCUUGGGUUUACUAGCUCAGCCAUAACACUCUGGAGCCUGAUCGAAAGGAAAGCUCACCCUGACACACUGUAAAGGAACAUUCCAGUAUUAUUAUUUAGGGUUUAUUUGGGGCAUUUUAUGCCUUUAUCAGAGAGUCAACAGAGAGAUGGCAGGAAAUGUAAGGAGAGAAAGAGAUGAAAUAUGUCUGUAUAUACCAGUAUAUGUAGACUGUACCUGUCUACACUGAGUCUAAAUAAAAGCUGUGCAACUGUUAA
Molecule: long non-coding RNA, 584 nt
Organism: Micropterus salmoides (largemouth bass)
Lineage: Eukaryota; Metazoa; Chordata; Actinopteri; Centrarchiformes; Centrarchidae
Exons: 2
Source: RefSeq, a predicted model, not a curated record